This 253-nucleotide ribosomal RNA is filed under the name uncultured bacterium. RNAcentral describes it as "partial 16S ribosomal RNA". It matches the Rfam family "Bacterial small subunit ribosomal RNA", at positions 524 to 776 of the family's 1533-position model. The record is from RNAcentral.
UACGUAGGGUGCAAGCGUUGUCCGGAAUUAUUGGGCGUAAAGAGCUCGUAGGCGGUUUGUCGCGUCUGCUGUGAAAACUCGGGGCUUAACCCCGGGCCUGCAGUGGGUACGGGCAGACUAGAGUGCGGUAGGGGAGACUGGAAUUCCUGGUGUAGCGGUGAAAUGCGCAGAUAUCAGGAGGAACACCAGUGGCGAAGGCGGAGACCUGGGCCGAUACUGACGCUGAGGUGCGAAAGCGUGGGGAGCAAACAGG